RNAcentral lists this ribosomal RNA (492 nucleotides) under uncultured bacterium. RNAcentral's name for it is "partial 16S ribosomal RNA". It matches the Rfam family "Bacterial small subunit ribosomal RNA", at positions 29 to 507 of the family's 1533-position model. The record is from RNAcentral.
AGUGAACGCUGGCGGUAGGCCUAACACAUGCAAGUCGAACGGCAGCACAGUAAGAGCUUGCUCUUACGGGUGGCGAGUGGCGGACGGGUGAGGAAUACAUCGGAAUCUACUUUUUCGUGGGGGAUAACGUAGGGAAACUUACGCUAAUACCGCAUACGACCUACGGGUGAAAGCAGGGGAUCUUCGUACCUUGCGCGAUUGAAUGAGCCGAUGUCGGAUUAGCUAGUUGGCGGGGUAAAGGCCCACCACGGCGACGAUCCGUAGCUGGUCUGAGAGGAUGAUCAGCCACACUGGAACGGAGACACGGUCCAGACUCCUACGGGAGGCAGCAGUGGGGAAUAUUGGACAAUGGGCGCAAGCCUGAUCCAGCCAUACCGCGUGGGUGAAGAAGGCCUUCGGGUUGUAAAGCCCUUUUGUUGGGAAAGAAAAGCAGCAGGUUAAUACCCCGCUGUUCUGACGGUACCCAAAGAAUAAGCACCGGCUAACUUCGUG